This 329-nucleotide ribosomal RNA is filed under the name uncultured eukaryote. Its description in RNAcentral is "SSU rRNA". It matches the Rfam family "Eukaryotic small subunit ribosomal RNA", at positions 592 to 919 of the family's 1831-position model. The record is from RNAcentral.
CAAUAGCGUAUAUUAAAGUUGUUGCGGUUAAAAAGCUCGUAGUUGGAUUUCCGCCGAGGACGACUGGUCCGCCCUCUGGGUGAGCAUCUAGUUCGGCCUGGGCAUCUUCUUGGGAGAACGUAGCUGCACUUGACUGUGUGGGUGCGGUAUCCAGGUACUUUUACCUGAGGAAAUUAGAGUGUUUCAAGCAGGCACUACGCCUUGAAUACAUUAGCAUGGAAUAAUAAGAUAGGACCUCGGUUCUAUUUUUGUUGGUUUCUAGAGCUGAGGUAAUGAUUAAUAGGGAGUAGUUGGGGGCGAUUCGUAUUUAACUGUCAGAGGUGAAAUUC